UCAUGGCCCUUACGGGCUGGGCUACACACGUGCUACAAUGGUGGUGACAGUGGGCAGCGAGACCGCGAGGUCGAGCUAAUCUCCAAAAGCCAUCUCAGUUCGGAUUGCACUCUGCAACUCGAGUGCAUGAAGUUGGAAUCGCUAGUAAUCGCGGAUCAGCAUGCCGCGGUGAAUACGUUCCCGGGCCUU
Molecule: ribosomal RNA, 189 nt
Filed under: uncultured Mesorhizobium sp.
Lineage: Bacteria; Pseudomonadati; Pseudomonadota; Alphaproteobacteria; Hyphomicrobiales; Phyllobacteriaceae
Description: partial 16S ribosomal RNA
Rfam family: Bacterial small subunit ribosomal RNA
Source: RNAcentral